AUACGGAGGAUGCGAGCGUUAUCCGGAUUUAUUGGGUUUAAAGGGAGCGUAGGCGGGAGCUUAAGUCAGCGGUUAAAUGGUGCGGCUCAACCGUGCCCUGCCGUUGAAACUGGGUUUCUUGAGAGUGCAAGAGGCGGAUGGAAUUCAUGGUGUAGCGGUGAAAUGCUUAGAUAUCAUGAAGAACUCCGAUUGCGAAGGCAGUCCGCUGGGGCACGUCUGACGCUGAUGCUCAAGGUGCGGGAAUCAAACAGGAUUAGAUACCCUGGUAGUCCGCACGGUAAACGAUGAUUACCCGCUGUCGGCGGCAGACAGUCGGCGGCCAAGCGAAAGCGAUAAGUAAUCCACCUGGGGAGUACGCCGGCAACGGUGAAACUCAAAUGAAUUGACGGGG
Molecule: ribosomal RNA, 391 nt
Filed under: uncultured bacterium
Lineage: Bacteria
Description: partial 16S ribosomal RNA
Rfam family: Bacterial small subunit ribosomal RNA
Source: RNAcentral